GUAGGUGGCAAGCGUUGUCCGGAAUUAUUGGGCGUAAAGCGCGCGCAGGUGGUUCUUUAAGUCUGAUGUGAAAGCCCCCGGGCUCAACCGGGGAGGGUCAUUGGAAACUGGGGAACUUGAGUGCAGGAGAGGAAAGUGGAAUUCCACGUGUAGCGGUGAAAUGCGUAGAUAUGUGGAGGAACACCAGUGGCGAAGGCGACUUUCUGGCCUGUAACUGACACUGAGGCGCGAAAGCGUGGGGAGCAAACAGGAUUAGAUACCCUGGUAGUCCACGCCGUAAACGAUGAGUGCUAAGUGUUGGGGGGUUUCCGCCCCUCAGUGCUGCAGCUAACGCAUUAGGCACUCCGCCUGGGGAGUACGGUCGCAAAGACUG
Molecule: ribosomal RNA, 373 nt
Filed under: uncultured organism
Description: partial 16S ribosomal RNA
Rfam family: Bacterial small subunit ribosomal RNA
Source: RNAcentral